AGCUUGCUCUUAUGAAGUUAGCGGCGGACGGGUGAGUAACACGUGGGUAACCUGCCCAUAAGACUGGGAUAACUCCGGGAAACCGGGGCUAAUACCGGAUAACAUUUUGAACCGCAUGGUUCGAAAUUGAAAGGCGGCUUCGGCUGUCACUUAUGGAUGGACCCGCGUCGCAUUAGCUAGUUGGUGAGGUAACGGCUCACCAAGGCAACGAUGCGUAGCCGACCUGAGAGGGUGAUCGGCCACACUGGGACUGAGACACAGCCCAGACUCCUACGGGAGGCAGCAGUAGGGAAUCUUCCGCAAUGGACGAAAGUCUGACGGAGCAACGCCGCGUGAGUGAUGAAGGCUUUCGGGUCGUAAAACUCUGUUGUUAGGGAAGAACAAGUGCUAGUUGAAUAAGCUGUUUAUCUUUUACGGUACCUAACCAGAAAGCCACGGCUAACUACGUGCCAGCAGCCGCGGUAAUACGUAGGUGGCAAGCGUUAUCCGGAAUUAUUGGGCGUAAAGCGCGCGCAGGUGGUUUCUUAAGUCUGAUGUGAAAGCCCACGGCUCAACCGUGGAGGGUCAUUGGAAACUGGGAGACUUGAGUGCAGAAGAGGAAGUGGAAUUCCAUGUGUAGCGGUGAAAUGCGUAGAGAUAUGGAGGAACACCAGUGGCGAAAGCGACUUUCUGGUCUGUAACUGACACUGAGGCGCGAAAGCGUGGGGAGCAAACAGGAUUAGAUACCCUGGGUAGUCCACGCCGUAAACGAUGAGUGCUAAGUGUUAGAGGGUU
RNAcentral lists this ribosomal RNA (774 nucleotides) under Bacillus cereus. RNAcentral's name for it is "bacterial SSU rRNA". It matches the Rfam family "Bacterial small subunit ribosomal RNA", at positions 77 to 832 of the family's 1533-position model. The record is from RNAcentral. Lineage: Bacteria; Bacillati; Bacillota; Bacilli; Caryophanales; Bacillaceae.